Molecule: small nucleolar RNA, 130 nt
Filed under: Castor canadensis (American beaver)
Lineage: Eukaryota; Metazoa; Chordata; Mammalia; Rodentia; Castoridae
Description: Small nucleolar RNA SNORA51 (ENSCCNG00000000855.1)
Rfam family: Small nucleolar RNA SNORA51
About the family: ACA51 is a member of the H/ACA class of snoRNA that guide the sites of modification of uridines to pseudouridines.
Source: Rfam by way of RNAcentral
GGCCUCCUGGUCGUUACCACAGGUUGUGUUCUUACAAUGACUGUAUAAAGAAGAGGGAAAGUAAACCUACUCCACAUACACCUCAACUCAGUCCCUGUGCCUGGUCUGUAUUAUAUGCAGGGAGACAUGG